CGAUGAAACUUAAAUGAUUUCUUCGGAAUGAACUUAAGUGGAUUAGUGGCGGACGGGUGAGUAACGCGUGAGUAACCUGCCUUACACAAGGGGAUAGCCGUUGGAAACGACGAAUAAUACCCUAUGAAACUAUCACUUCGCAUGAAGCGAUAGUCAAAGUGUUAGCGGUGUAAGAUGGACUUGCGUCUGAUUAGCUAGUUGGUGAGAAAAAAGCCCACCAAGGCAACGAUCAGUAGCCGGCUUGAGAGAGUGUACGGCCACAUUGGGACUGAGACACGGCCCAGACUCCUACGGGAGGCAGCAGUGGGGAAUUUUGCACAAUGGGGGAAACCCUGAUGCAGCGACGCCGCGUGAUUUAGAAGGCCUUCGGGUUGUAAAAAUCUUUUGUAUAGGAAGAAAAUGACAGUACCAUACGAAUAAGGUCCGGCUAAUUACGUGCCAGCAGCCGCGGUAAUACGUAAGGACCGAGCGUUGUCCGGAAUCAUUGGGCGUAAAGGGUACGUAGGCGGGUCAUUAAGUUAGAAGUCAAAGGCUAUAGCUCAACUAUAGUAAGCUUCUAAAACUGGAGACCUUGAGUAAUGGAAGGGAAAGUGGAAUUCCUAGUGUAGCGGUGGAAUGCGCAGAUAUUAGGAGGAAUACCGGUGGCGAAGGCGACUUUCUGGCCAUUAACUGACGCUGAGGUACGAAAGC
This 690-nucleotide ribosomal RNA is filed under the name uncultured Eubacteriales bacterium. RNAcentral describes it as "bacterial SSU rRNA". It matches the Rfam family "Bacterial small subunit ribosomal RNA", at positions 54 to 760 of the family's 1533-position model. The record is from RNAcentral. Lineage: Bacteria; Bacillati; Bacillota; Clostridia; Eubacteriales.